This 440-nucleotide ribosomal RNA is filed under the name uncultured bacterium. Its description in RNAcentral is "bacterial SSU rRNA". It matches the Rfam family "Bacterial small subunit ribosomal RNA", at positions 338 to 773 of the family's 1533-position model. The record is from RNAcentral.
CCUACGGGGAGCUGCAGUCGAGAAUCUUCGGCAAUGGGCGCAAGCCUGACCGAGCGACGCCGCGUGUGGGAUGAAGGCCUUCGGGUUGUAAACCACUGUCAGAGGGGAGGAAAUGUACGUGGGUUCUCCCACGUACUUGACCUAUCCUCAGAGGAAGUACGGGCUAAGUUCGUGCCAGCAGCCGCGGUAAGACGAACCGUACGAACGUUAUUCGGAAUUACUGGGCUUAAAGGGUGCGUAGGCGGCGCAGAAAGUUGGGUGUGAAAUCCCUCGGCUUAACCGAGGAAUUGCGCCCAAAACUACUGUGCUCGAGGGAGGUAGAGGUGAGCGGAACUUAGGGUGGAGCGGUGAAAUGCGUUGAUAUCCUAAGGAACACCGGUGGCGAAAGCGGCUCACUGGACCUCUUCUGACGCUGAGGCACGAAAGCUAGGGUAGCAAAC